This 490-nucleotide ribosomal RNA is filed under the name uncultured bacterium. RNAcentral's name for it is "partial 16S ribosomal RNA". It matches the Rfam family "Bacterial small subunit ribosomal RNA", at positions 28 to 506 of the family's 1533-position model. The record is from RNAcentral.
GAUGAACGCUGGCUACAGGCUUAACACAUGCAAGUCGAGGGGAAACGACGGGGAAGCUUGCUUCCCCGGGCGUCGACCGGCGCACGGGUGAGUAACGCGUAUCCAACCUGCCUCUGACUGAGGGAUAACCCGUCGAAAGUCGGCCUAAUACCUCAUGGUAUCGUCUGCGGGCAUCCAACGACGAUUAAAGAUUUCAUCGGUCAGGGAUGGGGAUGCGUCUGAUUAGCUUGUUGGCGGGGUAACGGCCCACCAAGGCUACGAUCAGUAGGGGUUCUGAGAGGAAGGUCCCCCACAUUGGAACGGAGACACGGUCCAAACUCCUACGGGAGGCAGCAGUGAGGAAUAUUGGUCAAUGGGCGAGAGCCUGAACCAGCCAAGUAGCGUGCAGGAAGACGGCCCUAUGGGUUGUAAACUGCUUUUAUGCGGGGAUAAAGUGAGGGACGUGUCCCUCAUUGCAGGUACCGCAUGAAUAAGGACCGGCUAAUUCCGU